UUAUCCGAAAAUAACGCAUAAUGGAAGAGAUCAGGAUUUUCCCUAUUUUCACCUCUAGGGAACUUUCUUUUUUCAGGAGGAAGGAGGAAAUAGUCAAUGGUCAAACGCAUGGACAAGCAAUGGAUCCCAUUAGGUAUAGUCUUAGCCGCUAAUUGGUUUUCCCUAUUUUCGCCUCUAGGGAACUUUCUUUUUUCAGGAGGAAGGAGGAAAUAGUCAAUGGUCAAACGCAUGGACAAGCAGUGGAUCCCAUUAGGUAUAGUCUUUGCCGCUAAUUGGCUCAAAAAAGUGCUCUGCCUCUUCAAACCUCUGACUUGCUCAUCAGCAGAUUGCAGCAUUGCUCUCAGUUUUGUUGUCACAAGCUUGCAGUCAUAGAGCUGCUCUCUAGCUUUAGAUAAGACCUGACCCAUAGCUUUCAUUUUCUCAUGUGCA
RNAcentral lists this long non-coding RNA (429 nucleotides) under Nicotiana benthamiana. RNAcentral describes it as "long non-coding RNA (NBEN_LNC038084)". The record is from RNAcentral. Lineage: Eukaryota; Viridiplantae; Streptophyta; Magnoliopsida; Solanales; Solanaceae.